Molecule: ribosomal RNA, 2125 nt
Filed under: Paraisaria gracilis
Lineage: Eukaryota; Fungi; Ascomycota; Sordariomycetes; Hypocreales; Ophiocordycipitaceae
Description: SSU rRNA
Rfam family: Eukaryotic small subunit ribosomal RNA
Source: RNAcentral
UGUAGUCAUAUGCUUGUCUCAAAGAUUAAGCCAUGCAUGUCUAAGUAUAAGCGAUUAUACGGCGAAACUGCGAAUGGCUCAUUAUAUAAGUUAUCGUUUAUUUGAUAGCACCUUACUACUUGGAUAACCGUGGUAAUUCUAGAGCUAAUACAUGCUGCGAUCCCCGACUUCGGAAGGGGUGUAUUUAUUAGAUUAAAAACCAAUGCCCCCUGGGCUCUCUGGUGAUUCAUGAUAACUUGGCGAAUCGCACGGCCUUGCGCCGGCGAUGGUUCAUUCAAAUUUCUUCCCUAUCAACUUUCGAUGUUUGGGUAGUGGCCAAACAUGGUUGCAACGGGUAACGGAGGGUUAGGGCUCGACCCCGGAGAAGGAGCCUGAGAAACGGCUACUACAUCCAAGGAAGGCAGCAGGCGCGCAAAUUACCCAAUCCCGACACGGGGAGGUAGUGACAAUAAAUACUGAUACAGGGCUCUUUCGGGUCUUGUAAUUGGAAUGAGUACAAUUUAAAUCCCUUAACGAGGAACAAUUGGAGGGCAAGUCUGGUGAGCACGCUGGCGCCAGAGAGAGCCUCGCCCCCCGUGGUGGGGGGCCAGAGGCUAGUCGAGCGCUCGUUACUGUGACGGGUGAGCGCCGGCGAGACAACCUGGAUCGGGGAAGGCUAAGGGCCCUGGAGGCCUACGCUGAUCCCGAGCAGAGCCGCCCGGGCGGCCUGUGUAGAGCGCGCAAAGGUGUCGGUCCCUGGGCCUGCGGGCCCCGGGGCUUAAGGUACGUGCCAACCCCCCGCGAAAGCGGGGCCCUGCGGACGAGCACCCGUCGUGCGAAGCCGCGGGGGGGGGGGGGACAGAUCCGCUGACGGGCCGCGAGCGAGCCCGUCCGCGGGGCACGUCCGCCCACGCAAGCAGGCCAGCAGCCGCGGUAAUUCCAGCUCCAAUAGCGUAUAUUAAAGUUGUUGUGGUUAAAAAGCUCGUAGUUGAACCUUGGGCCUGGCUGGCCGGUCCGCCUCACCGCGUGCACUGGUCCGGCCGGGCCUUUCCCUCUGUGGAACCCCAUGCCCUUCGCUGGGCGUGGCGGGGAGACAGGACUUUUACUUUGAAAAAAUUAGAGUGCUCCAGGCAGGCCUAUGCUCGAAUACAUUAGCAUGGAAUAAUGAAAUAGGACGCGCGGUUCUAUUUUGUUGGUCUCUAGGACCGCCGUAAUGAUUAAUAGGGACAGUCGGGGGCAUCAGUAUUCAAUUGUCAGAGGUGAAAUUCUUGGAUUUAUUGAAGACUCACUACUGCGAAAGCAUUUGCCAAGGAUGUUUUCAUUAAUCAGGAACGAAAGUUAGGGGAUCGAAGACGAUCAGAUACCGUCGUAGUCUUAACCAUAAACUAUGCCGACUAGGGAUUGGACGAUGUUGAUUUUUGACUCGUCCAGCACCUUACGAGAAAUCAAAGUGCUUGGGCUCCAGGGGGAGUAUGGUCGCAAGGCUGAAACUUAAAGAAAUUGACGGAAGGGCACCACCAGGGGUGGAGCCUGCGGCUUAAUUUGACUCAACACGGGGAAACUCACCAGGUCCAGACACAAUGAGGAUUGACAGAUUGAGAGCUCUUUCUUGAUUUUGUGGGUGGUGGUGCAUGGCCGUUCUUAGUUGGUGGAGUGAUUUGUCUGCUUAAUUGCGAUAACGAACGAGACCUUAACCUGCUAAAUAGCCCGUGCCGCUCCGGCAGCACGCUGGCUUCUUAGAGGGACUAUCGGCUCAAGCCGAUGGAAGUUUGAGGCAAUAACAGGUCUGUGAUGCCCUUAGAUGUUCUGGGCCGCACGCGCGCUACACUGACGGAGCCAGCGAGUGCUCCCUUGGCCGGAAGGCCCGGGUAAUCUUGUUAAACUCCGUCGUGCUGGGGAUAGAGCAUUGCAAUUAUUGCUCUUCAACGAGGAAUCCCUAGUAAGCGCAAGUCACCAGCUUGCGUUGACUACGUCCCUGCCCUUUGUACACACCGCCCGUCGCUACUACCGAUUGAAUGGCUCAGUGAGGCGUCCGGACUGGCCUAGAGAGGUGGGAGACCACCACUCAGGGCCGGGAAGCUCUCCAAACUCGGUCAUUUAGAGGAAGUAAAAGUCGUAACAAGGUCUCCGUAGGUGAACCUGCGGA